CCUACGGGUGGCAGCAGUGAGGAAUAUUGGUCAAUGGUCGGGAGACUGAACCAGCCAAGUCGCGUGAGUGAUGAAGGAUCUAUGGUUUGUAAACUUCUUUUAUAUGGGAAUAAAAUGGGGGACGCGUCCCGUCUCGCAUGUACCAUAUGAAUAAGGAUCGGCUAACUCCGUGCCAGCAGCCGCGGUAAUACGGAGGAUCCGAGGGUUAUCCGGAUUUGUUGGGUUUAAAGGGUGCGUAGGCGGCUUUUUAAGUCAGCUGUGAAAGUCUGUGGCGCAACCGUAAAAUUGCAGUUGAAACUGGGAGGCUUGAGUAUAGUAGAGGCAGGCGGAAGGCGUGGUGUAGCGGUGAAAUGCAUAGAUAUCACGAAGAACUCCGAUUGCGAAGGCAGCUCACCGGAC
RNAcentral lists this ribosomal RNA (399 nucleotides) under uncultured bacterium. RNAcentral describes it as "partial 16S ribosomal RNA". It matches the Rfam family "Bacterial small subunit ribosomal RNA", at positions 338 to 734 of the family's 1533-position model. The record is from RNAcentral.